Molecule: long non-coding RNA, 248 nt
Organism: Diprion similis
Lineage: Eukaryota; Metazoa; Arthropoda; Insecta; Hymenoptera; Diprionidae
Exons: 2
Source: RefSeq, a predicted model, not a curated record
GAAUAAAUUCCAAGCGGAAAGUUCGAUAGCGACGUUCUGUCCUAUCGAUUGGCAUCUCAGUCUCAUUCGGAUUGGAGAUUCGACGCCAUUGCACCUGCUUGUCCCAUACUGGCAAUCAGAGGCAUUAUCAUUCCACGUCACGUUGUCCAAUCUACAGCACCGCCACCUUGGAGGUUAGGAAAAGUCAAACUAUUAGCUCAGAGCGAUGCAUGAUGUAAGUCGUCGAACUUCUGUCCCUUCAACGAAGA